UUUAUUCUUAGUAUGUCGUGGAUCAUUAUGUUUUAUUCAUACUGCAGCUUAGGCAGGUUUGAAUCAAUUAACCCCCAGCCUAAAUGCGGUUAGAGACCUUGUUACAUUUGAAAUUUUGACUAUGUUCUUAUAGUCUUUUAUCUUUUUUUUUUUUGAAUUGGAAACAAAACUUUCAUUGAUAAAAUGAAAAGAUAAUACAUAAUAGAGGAUCAAAAGUUGCACUCGUACAUCUCAACUAGGUAAAACACACCCUUAACUGACCCGCAUCAUACCCAAAAAUCAAACCGCUACACCACAAAUUAUCACUGGUUUGUUCAGGUAAAAGGGUGGAAAUGUAUCCGAUUCUCGUAUUUGGAGUUUAGGUCCAUAUGUAAGAUUUUUGUUCAAAUCCUUAUCUAACCACUUGGUAGCUUUUAAAGUAAUUCAUAAAUUUAUUUCUAACAGCUUGUGGAGAACUGACUCUCGCCUCUCUCCUCCCUUCCUUCCUUUCGUCCCUAACCACACUUCAGCCCCCUUUUUCUCCUCCGGUAAGUUCCCUAGAGCCCAAAUCUUCUUGUCCAUCCCUGUUUCAGCGGUAGCAUGGUUUUGGUGAAAAUGGAAGUAGAAAGAUGCAAAGUAUUUGGUUCGACAAAGAUUACUUCCAUAUAGAAGACGUUGAAGCUUGAAAGAUCUUGUCAUUAUCAGCACUCAUUUCAGAUGGUUCUUAAAGGAAAUUUCUGAAUUCUUGCAUGGCCCUGAGAAUGGUUUUCUUCUUCGAAAUGGUUUUGAUGAUUUUGGAAGUACAAGACUCUUAAAAUUUAGUUCAAAAGUAGGUUGGUUUAUGAGGUGUGUAGCUUGGAAGAGGAACAAAAAUCUAUCCUUCAUCCAUAUUUGUUUUGGUGUCUCUUAAUAGGGUUAAAAUCCUUUCACAAAAUGUUAGAAAGAUUGUUGAUGAAGCACGAUUAUUCGAUUUGUUACAGAGAUCAUCCCCAAACCUCCUUCCAGUCUCCUUUUGAGUCAUUAAGAGUAAGUUAUGCUGAAAAGGUGAUGCUUAAUGGACCCUUUGUUCAGGAAUUGAUAAAACAAAACAUUUCUUCCCUCACCCUGACCUCAAAAUCUUAAAGUACAACUCAGCACUGGGUCAUUAAAAAUCUGGAAGUUUUAAAAGAAGACUUCGAUAAUCUAUGGAUUAUUUCAAGAUUAUAUGCGUUUGAUGAUUGGAAGGAAAUUAGAAAAACCUUGGAGGAUCUUUUUCAAUUAAAAAAAAUCAUUAAUCCAUUGUUCGGUGAGAAUGCUUUGAUUAAAUUGGUUGAAGGAUCUCUAGAAGAGUGUGUUGAAAAAAAAGAGUUAUGGCAAGUAAUGGGUCCAAUAAAAAACCUCCCUCUUGAUUAUUGGAGCAAUCAAAUGUUCAAAGUUAUAGGAGAUCAUUUUGGAGGUCUGGAAAAUAUUGCUUCUGAUUAAAAAGAAACCAAUGUGGUUUUGUACCCGCUACAUUAGAAAUAACAGAUUUUAACCCGCUAGAUUAGAAAUAACAGAUUUUAACUGAGGGAAUUUUUUCUUAUACUUUGGUGAUUUUGAACAGAUUGAGCUUCUUCCAUUAACCAAGGGCCAUUUAUCAUUCGAGGAUUUUUCAAACCCAUUGGACUUGCAGACAUUAAACCAGGCUUUAAAAGAUGAAGGAGUUGUUGGUGAUUCAUUCUUCUCAGAGGGGAUGGAAUAUCUAAAUUCAAUCCAAAAAAUUUCUUCAUAUACAAGGAAUUCUUUGGAAGCUUUGAUAUAGGGAGCUCGCCAGAUUUUAGGCUCGUUGGCGCCGAUUACCUCCUCUGAAGCGACAAUGGUUUUAAAUUUGGACUCCAAGGAAAGUAGUGUGAACUUGGUUGGAUUCGAAGAGCCACCCAUAAAAAGGAGAGAGAAUAAGAAAUUUUGUUUUGAAAGGUACAAGAAAGAAGAUGUUGAAGAGACACUUUUAAUGAAGAAAGAGAAAAUUCCAGACUGUCUUCUUUUACAGCUGGAAAGUCCCCUCAACCAGCCAGCAGCCCUCUUGGUGAUCCUCUGUCGAAUCCUAUGAACAAGAAGUUAAAAGCUGAAAUUAUUUCAGCUGCUAUUUUUCAGAAGAAACCAACAGCUGCUCCUCCUUUCAAUCCUUCAUCUUCAGCUCCCAUCUCCUCUUCUUCUCUUUUUUACUCAUCAAAAGGCUCCCGAGGAAAUUUGAAAAGAAAGAAUUUUGCUAAGAUCUUCCCACAUUACCUCGAGCCAUUUCUGAAGUAUUUUAUCUGGAAGAAAGAAUCAAAGAAGAUUAUGGCAAAACGUUUCUUAAAAGCUCAAAUUUUAGCUAAUCAAGUACCCGUUUUGGUUGAGGAAAAAUCUGCCCAUUCUCUUUCAUCAGCUUAUUCCAGCAGCUCCAAGCUGUUUGUAAAGGCCAAUCCUGAUUUAUUGGAAGUUAGUUGCACCCAAAUUUAAGCCCCAGCCCAUUCUUCUAGGUCAUUUUCUCAUCAUCCUCACUCUAACCAGUUUAAGUAUUCUGAGUUCUCUUUUCCUAACUCCAAGAUAAAAUUUUCUGAAGGGCUCUCCAAGCAAAAUCCCUCUCAAUCAAUCCAACAAGAAGAGUGAACCUUUUUUCGACUCCCCUUUCAGCGUUAGUAAUGAGCAAUUGGAGCAUUUGGAUAGGUCAACCGAACUUGAAAGUCAAAAACAUUUUGAGCCUCUAGAAACCGAUCUCAAUGCCCUAUUUCAAUGCAAGGAAGAGCCAGGUUCCGCAAAGUUGCCUUCUGCUACUCGUUCUUGUCACCAGUCUUGUGACCAACUUCAGUCAUUCUUGGACUUCUCUUCAUAUGGGUGGCAAGUAAAUCCAAUCCUUCACGCCGAUGCUGAAUAGUGGAAGACUUUUUCGAGCUUCCUCUGAAUUAUGGAUUAAUUUGGUUAGGCAUUUUCAAGGCAGCCGGUUGCAUCUUCUGGAAAGUUUUUAGUUUCAAUUUAAUUCCUUAUGAGAGGAUUUUGCAUUAUGCUUUGUAAUUAGAUUUCUUCGGAUAUGGUUUUGUUUA
Molecule: long non-coding RNA, 3020 nt
Organism: Cucumis sativus (cucumber)
Lineage: Eukaryota; Viridiplantae; Streptophyta; Magnoliopsida; Cucurbitales; Cucurbitaceae
Exons: 2
Source: RefSeq, a predicted model, not a curated record